GCUGUUAAAACAUGAUCAACUAAGUGACCCGCUGGUCUCGGAUCAGUACUCGGUAUCGGCCGAUACACAAGUUCACGUAUCGGAAUCGGUAUCGCGGAUGGAAAAAAUGGUGUCGGACCAUCUCUAGUACAUACAUCGUCAAUA
Long non-coding RNA from Etheostoma cragini (Arkansas darter), 144 nucleotides. RefSeq lists it as uncharacterized. Lineage: Eukaryota; Metazoa; Chordata; Actinopteri; Perciformes; Percidae. The record is from RefSeq and is a predicted model, not a curated record. The transcript has 4 exons.